This 475-nucleotide long non-coding RNA is filed under the name Anas platyrhynchos platyrhynchos (common mallard). RNAcentral's name for it is "lncRNA (ENSAPLG00000022339.1)". Lineage: Eukaryota; Metazoa; Chordata; Aves; Anseriformes; Anatidae. The record is from RNAcentral.
AAAAGCAUGGCUUGCACAGAAAAAGUCCUUAGCUAUACUAAUUUUCCUGUUUAAUCUUUUUUUAAAAUUUUUAUUUAAUUAGGAAGUUUUGGUUUCAUUGUUUCUAGCUUUUAAUAUGUUCUUUGACUAUCCUCAUUUAUUUGAAAACCCAACAUGUAGUACAGCCUUCUGCUUUCUUGAAGACCAUGUCCAGCAACAUUAUUUUAACGUGGUAGUGGAAAAAUGUGCUAAGAAAUGACAAAUACCAACAUGACUGUACAGACAUACCACAAGGGAUUCAUUUAGGCAAACAAGGCAGUCUGAGAACACUUGGAAAACAAAAUUUCCAGUCUGUUCCAGUCAACAGUAAAAGUUCCUGCUGUGUCCUGCAACACUGGAGAAUUGAGGUUUUUAACCCAACAUGGAUCAGAGGGGUAGCUGUAGUCCUCCCUAUCACAGUCAGCACUGCCUUGGAGGAGAAGAGUAUGCAGGAAGA